CGGCAGCGACCCCAGGUCAGGCGGGAUUACCCGCUGAGUUUAA
RNAcentral lists this ribosomal RNA (43 nucleotides) under Leptorhabdos parviflora. RNAcentral describes it as "partial 26S ribosomal RNA". Lineage: Eukaryota; Viridiplantae; Streptophyta; Magnoliopsida; Lamiales; Orobanchaceae. The record is from RNAcentral.